This 257-nucleotide long non-coding RNA is filed under the name Sorghum bicolor (sorghum). RNAcentral's name for it is "long non-coding RNA (SBIC_LNC010453)". Lineage: Eukaryota; Viridiplantae; Streptophyta; Magnoliopsida; Poales; Poaceae. The record is from RNAcentral.
UAUCUGCUCUUCUAUUGCUUCAUCCCUACCUGUAUCAUCAGCAGCAAGCAAAGCACGUGUAUCGUCAUCAAAAUCACUAGCAGAGGAAUACCCACCAUCAGCGUUAACCACCAAAACACGCUUGUUUGGACAAUCUCGCUGUACGUGCCCAUAGCCCUUGCAUCGAUGACACUGAACAUCUCUUGUUCUUCCUGUGGAAUUAACCGAGGAGGCACUAGCGAUUGGUCUCUGGGCUGAUUUAGUUGCUGUAUUUGUGG